Molecule: long non-coding RNA, 201 nt
Filed under: Elaeis guineensis (African oil palm)
Lineage: Eukaryota; Viridiplantae; Streptophyta; Magnoliopsida; Arecales; Arecaceae
Description: long non-coding RNA (EGUI_LNC014591)
Source: RNAcentral
GAAGGAUUUCUUACGAUGAAAAGAUGUGGCAUGGGGAAUAAAUUCACAUGGGUUGGUUUGGGUUUAGUCCUAUUCCAAAUAGGAUUCAAGAUCUUGAUCAAAUUCUAGCAAUUUUUGGACCCAAUUCUAACUAACUUAAGAAUUAGUUAUAACUAACUAACUAAUUGGAUCCUAGUCCAAUUAUGAAGCAUAUUAGGCCCC